This 155-nucleotide small RNA is filed under the name Paenibacillus senegalensis. Its description in RNAcentral is "M-box riboswitch (ykoK leader)". It matches the Rfam family "M-box riboswitch aptamer (ykoK leader)". Rfam says of the family: M-box riboswitch, also know as ykoK leader is described as a metaloregulatory RNA that sense divalent metals and function as a genetic control element of genes related to divalent metal transport in bacteria. The record is from RNAcentral. Lineage: Bacteria; Bacillati; Bacillota; Bacilli; Caryophanales; Paenibacillaceae.
UCCUCGUUAGGUGAGGCUCCUGUGCUGGAGAUAUGCUGCUGCCCAAAAAUGUCCAAAGACGCCAAUGGGUCAACAGAAACUAUCGACAUAAGGUAGUUUUUAAUGUAGCUGGCUGCAAGCCUAUGCCGCACAGUGCUAAAGCUCUACGACUGGAG